Phascolarctos cinereus (koala) is the source of this 1805-nucleotide RNA transcript. It is a transcript of the gene named alpha-enolase-like, with no coding region annotated. The record is from RefSeq and is a predicted model, not a curated record. NCBI's taxonomy places the organism in Eukaryota, Metazoa, Chordata, Mammalia, Diprotodontia, Phascolarctidae.
GGGCCCAGUGGGGUGGGGGAGGGAAGGGGGGGCUAGGGAAGAGGGCCGAGGUGUCGUAGGAGAGAUUUUGGACCAAAGGAGCACUCGGCCCUGAGGGAGGCCAGUCUCUGCCAAACCUUUUUCCUCUUCGUGAAGGCGAAGAAGCCUCAAGACCAGAAUUUCGCCAUGUCUAUUACCAAGAUCCAUGCCAGGGAGAUCUUCGACUCUCGUGGAAACCCCACAGUUGAGGUUGAUCUCCACACUCAUAAAGGUAUCUUCCGAGCUGCGGUGCCCAGUGGCGCUUCUACUGGCAUCUAUGAAGCCUUAGAACUCCGAGACAAUGAUAAGAGCUACCUCCUGGGGAAAGGUGUCUCAAAAGCUAUUGACCAUAUCAACCACACUAUUGCCCCAGCACUGAUUAACAAGAAACUUAAUGUCGUGGAGCAGGAGAAAAUUGACUACCUAAUGCUGAACAUGGAUGGCACUGAGAAUAAAAGUAAAUUUGGUGCAAAUGCCAUACUUGGAGUGUCUCUGGCUGUUUGCAAGGCUGGAGCUGCUGAGAGAGGUGUCCCCUUAUACCGCCACAUUGCUGACCUUGCUUGUAAAGAAGAGACCGUUCUACCUGUGCCAGCCUUCAACGUGAUCAAUGGUGGCUCCCAUGCUGGUAACCAGCUGGCCAUGCAGGAAUUCAUGAUCCUCCCGGUAGGAGCUGAGAAUUUCAGGGAGGCCAUGCGCAUUGGCUCUGAGGUCUACCACAACCUGAAGAUUGUGAUUAAGGAGAAAUUUGGGACAGAUGCCAUCAAUGUGGGGGAUGAAGGCGGCUUUGCUCCUAACAUCCUGGAGAAUAAAGAAGCUCUUGAACUGCUGAAAGAAGCAAUCGGUAACGCUGGCCACACCGAUAAAGUUGUCAUUGGCAUGGAUGUUGCUGCCUCGGAGUUUUACAAGGAUGGAAAGUACGACCUGGAGUUCAAGUCUCCUGAUGACCCCAGCAGACACAUGACUGCUAAGGAGCUGAGCAACCUGUACAAGUCUUUUAUCAAGGAUUACCCAGUGAUGUCUAUUGAAGAUCCCUUUGACCAGGAUGACUGGGAAGCGUGGAAGAAUUUCACUUCUUCUGUAGGCAUCCAGGUGGUAGGGGAUGAUCUCACUGUGACCAAUCCUAUACGCAUCAAAAAGGCCAUCAGGGAGAAAGCCUGCAACUGUCUCCUGCUCAAAGUGAACCAGAUAGGCACCGUCACAGAGUCUAUCCAGGCGUGCAAGAUAGCCCAGUCUAAUGGGUGGGGAGUAAUGGUUUCUCAUCGUUCUGGGGAAACUGAAGAUACCUUCAUUGCAGACCUGGCGGUGGGUCUCUGCACUGGGCAGAUUAAGACUGGUGCCCCUUGCCGAUCUGAGCGUCUGGCCAAGUAUAAUCAGCUUCUCAGGGUGGGACCCAGGAUGCCUGGAGGGAAUGCAGCACUGAGCACAUAGGCCUUUUUUCUGGAAGGAUGGUGGUGUCCUGACCAGCCACACGCAGUUCAGCAAAAACAAUCCAGCUCUGGUGGCCUCUCCUUUUUAGAACAAAGGGAUGUCUCAGACUCUUCUGUACCCUUAAGUGAAUGAGGAAGCACAGUGCAGGGAAAAGAGAACCCAAUUGAUACACUCUGCACAUUUGGUUUGGAGUCCAGCACUGCUCCCUAAGCAGCUGUGAGCCCUGGGGAAUUCCCUGAAUCUCUCUGCGCCUCAGUCGCCUCCUCUACAAAAGGAGGGAAGAAUUGAAGAACAGCUGGGCAGCCAGGCUAAAUUCGCUGGUAGGAACUUCAGAAAACCCACUACAGCUUGCCAGACUG